AGCUGAGAUAAUGUUGAAGAUGGUGUUAAAGAUAGCUCUUGAAUGCUCUCUGAAAUCUGUCUUGAAUCUCUCUCUUUUCUCUCUUUUUUUGGAUAUUCAAUGAAGCUCUCAAACUUGAAUGAUUUCUUCUUUCAAUCUACUUUUUUUUUCUUUGAUUCUCUACCUUUAAAUAGGCUUGACAGAGGCUGAAGAAAGUAUUCUAGCCAUUGGAAGAGCUGAAGUAGCC
This 226-nucleotide long non-coding RNA is filed under the name Elaeis guineensis (African oil palm). RNAcentral's name for it is "long non-coding RNA (EGUI_LNC043491)". The record is from RNAcentral. Lineage: Eukaryota; Viridiplantae; Streptophyta; Magnoliopsida; Arecales; Arecaceae.